GGCGGCUCAGUGGAAGAGCGCUUGCCUGGCAUGCAUGAGGCCCUGGGUUCAAUUCCUCAGCACCA
This 65-nucleotide transfer RNA is filed under the name Dipodomys ordii (Ord's kangaroo rat). It matches the Rfam family "tRNA". Rfam says of the family: Transfer RNA (tRNA) molecules are approximately 80 nucleotides in length. Their secondary structure includes four short double-helical elements and three loops (D, anti-codon, and T loops). The record is from Rfam by way of RNAcentral. Lineage: Eukaryota; Metazoa; Chordata; Mammalia; Rodentia; Heteromyidae.